AUUGAACGCUGGCGGCAUGCCUAACACAUGCAAGUCGAGCGGAUGAGGGGAGCUUGCCCUUGGGUCCAGCGGCGGACGGGUGAGUAAUGCCUAGGAAUCUGCCUGGUAGUGGGGGAUAACGUCCGGAAACGGGCGCUAAUACCGCAUACGUCCUGAGGGAGAAAGUGGGGGAUCUUCGGACCUCACGCUAUCAGAUGAGCCUAGGUCGGAUUAGCUAGUUGGUGGGGUAAAGGCCUACCAAGGGGACGAUCCGUAACUGGUCUGAGAGGAUGAUCAGUCACACUGGAACUGAGACACGGUCCAGACUCCUACGGGAGGCAGCAGUGGGGAAUAUUGGACAAUGGGCGAAAGCCUGAUCCAGCAAUGCCGCGUGUGUGAAGAAGGUCUUCGGAUUGUAAAGCACUUUUGGUUGGGACGAAAAGGAGUGAGUUAAUACCAUGCUGUUUUGACGGUACCAACAGAAUAAGCACCGGCUAACUACGUG
RNAcentral lists this ribosomal RNA (484 nucleotides) under uncultured bacterium. RNAcentral describes it as "partial 16S ribosomal RNA". It matches the Rfam family "Bacterial small subunit ribosomal RNA", at positions 30 to 507 of the family's 1533-position model. The record is from RNAcentral.